UUAUUUUUGAGAAAAAGAGAGACAGUGAGAGGGGAGGGGCAGAGAGCGAGGGUGAGGCACAGAAUCCGAAGCAGGCUCCAGGCUCCAAGUUGUCAGCACAGAGCCCCACGCGAGGCUCGAAACCCACAAACCACGAGACUGUGACCCGAGCCAAAGUCAGAUGCUUAACUGACUGAGCCACCCAGGUGCCCCCGACACUGGUUAUUUUCUGGUUUUUUGUUUUGUUUUGUUUGUUUGUUUGGAUAGUAGUAAUUCCUAAUCUCCUAGGUGUUUGUACCUACUACCCACCCCCCACCUAGCCCUGACACCCUGCCUCAAGUCACUUGUGUCCUCUGGCCGAGAGGGUCACAUCCUCUGGGCACAGACAAUCAUUUCUGUAUCCCCUUCAGUGACCAGCACACUUGUCAUGUUGAAUGAUCCCUGGUUUCCCGGAAGAUUACACUCUGCAGGGGGAAGUAAAAAAUUUACAUAUUCUGGAAAGACCAAGUUGGGCGUGGCUGGGACUACCUUAGGGCCACCGACAGGGAGUAGCCACAGUAGGCUCCCUCCUUCUGGUCUCCACAUUUCUUCACCGCUCUCGGAGAUAAAUAGACUUCUUGGAAUGUCGACACAAGGUCUGACCCACCCCACUGCCCCAGCCUGGGUUCCAGGGAACCCCUUCCUGCCCCCCUGUCUCAGGGUCUCUGAACACCCAGGUCUCCUGAGCACACGCUCUGUGUCAUCCUGGCUUUCAAGGCCCAGCUCAGGCACCUCACCAGCACCCUUUCCCCAGCCGGAAGCCCUCACACUGUCCCUCCAGCUCCCACGGGCCCGUCCAAGCUUUCUGCUGUGGCACAGGGAGAAGAGCAUGGGACGGAAAUCUGAAGAUCUGAGUCUGAUCCUGGCUGUCUCUCCAGCUGGCUUUUUGUCGUGGCUGACAAAUUCCUCCUCGAAGAGCCAACCCAAAUGCUGUCUCCUCUGACGCCUCUUGCUCUCCUCUGCGAGCCGGCCUUCCCCCGAACCCCAGCGACUCCGGGGUGCUAUCUCGAUGAUCCCAGAAUCAACAGCAUUUUGUCUCCUCCGCCAGACUGUGGGUCCCGAGGAGCACAUCACCUCCUCCUCCUCCUCAUCGCUGACACCCCAGUGCACCUGCCAGCUGUUUGCAGACAAAAGAAGGUGAAGUCAGUGGGAUUAAACACAAGGAGAGCAUUGUGCGUUUGGGACAGUCAAGAUGUUCUUCCGUUUCAGCGGUGUAACAUGUGAGGAUGUAGCCUCACAGAGCCCAGGCCUAGGGCCCAUAGCAGCGGAGCGGAGAGAGUUAAGCAUCUCCCUUAACUCCUAUCUCUCUCGGCCAUGGCCCUCCCAAACCCUGGGGGUUCCCGUGUGGUGGCUGUACCCAGCUGCUCCUGCUGGCACUCGGAAAGGGCCACUAAGCAGAUCGGGGAGGGGAGGGGUGGCCAACGUGCCAGCGGAUCUCCUCAGUGAGCUAAUGAUGAAUCCCCCCCCCCCCCCCCGCCACUAGAGGCUUUGUGACCCAGCUGGGGGCAAGGGAGGCCAGGAUCGCAGCCUGAUGCUGUGCUGUGCAACCCGACUUUUGGGAAAACAGCCACAAUGAAGCAAUCUGCCCCAGAAGGGUCCCAGGCCUCAGGAAUGCGGGCACAGAGGGGGCUGGGGCAGUGAGGCACUUGGGAAGGAGCAGGUAAAUGGAAAUCAGUGCUGUGCCACACGCGAGAGAGAGCCUGGGGGGAGAACCGUAGACUUGAGCAGUUUUCCAAAACUGCCUGGGCAUUAGAAUCACCUGGAGGCUUUUACCUGUCUUGUUAUGAAAGAGUUUAUUUUCUUUCUGUAGAGCCAUACCUAAAAAAAGAUGGGUAGUAACAUAAAAAAAAACAAAAACAAAAAAACAAAACACCAACCCCAGCCCAACUGCCAGGGUUUAUCCGUGUUACCAGAGAUACACAUGAGGUUACCUUAAGGCCCUCAAGGCAGAAUGAGCAUGUACGGUACAGGCAGAGGCCAGGAGCAUCGGUUGAAAGUGUGUUCAGGGAGGAGGACCCGGUCUUUGGCAACUCAGGAGACCACAGGCGUGUGUGGUCCACAGGGGCCGGCAGCGACAGAUAGGAGACUCUACCACGUGGGAUGGAAGUCAGCACAGACGCGAAGUCCCCACGGGUGGACCUCUAAGGUCCAAAGAUGGGGGCUGAGGAGGAUAUGGGGAGCCAGGUUCCAAGUCGCCGUCCAAGAGGAGUGGAGGAGAGAAGGCUUUUGUUUGUUAGUUUGAACCGUCGACUCCUGUGCUCUUGAACCAGCAUCUCCAGGGGCAAGGCCCUUGGUUCCCAGCGGAGCCAGCCUGGCACCGGUCCGAGGACAGGUGUGGUCAGCCACCGGGAUGGAUGAGGAGAGCGCUGUCAGGAGAUAAAGCUCUAAGCCAUGGACCCAGAUCUCCCAAGGAGUCCCGGGUGAUCUCAGCUACUUAUUCUGUACUCCUCUUCGUCUCCAUUUCUUCAUGUGAUCAAAGUAAGAGACCAUAACUCCUCUCCUACAGCUUUGAUGGAGGGAUUACAUGAGAUCAUGUAGAUGUUGGUGUUUGUUGGCCCACUAACCCUGGCGUGUGGACACACGGGGCUAGAGACCCAUUGCCUGUGUUAAUCAUCAAACGUCAGGAGAUCUGUGUGUGUUUAUGAUUCGUAAGGGGCGUCGUGAGGUAGGAGUGGGUUGAUGGCCCAGGCCUUGAUCCCAGAUGCCCACACCCUCUCAGAUGACACUGGCAAAGUCCACCUGGUUUGGGUCCCCCAUGCCAUUGGGAGCAUGUCUACUCCCCUACCAUGGUGGGGACCCACGCUAAGACCGGGGUGUCUCAGAUCGAAGAUUGCCUGUUUGACUGGCACCUGUUGCCCUCUGCGUGGCCUUCUCGGACCCCAAUGACCUUGAGAGAAUCCCUUGUCGCUCUGUCCACAGCUUCGCAGUAGGAGCUGCAGGAAAUGGUUCGGGGUCUCUGCAGCAGCCCCAGGGCCUUUCGGUAGAGCCAAGCAUCACUGGCCUUGUCGAGACCCUUGGUGGGUACCUUGGUGGCAGGAGUAUGUCAACUGGGGGCCAGAGGCAGGCCCGGCCACCGCCUGGCUGAUGGCUCAGAAGGAGCAGCUCAGGAACCCUCUGUGCCCAGAGGACUUUGACAUCUUUUCACUCCAACGCCGAGGACAGCCUUGUUCAUCUAGGAAGCUCUCGGGACUGAAGGUGGUCAUUCCUCCUGCCCACCCACCACCACCCUAGCAUUAGUGGAAAAUGCUCUUUGGAAGAGAAGGGUUUUUCCCCUUAGGAGGUCGCCAAGAGACAUCGGAACACAGGCAACCAGAGAAAGAUCUUGGAACCGGGGACUUGGGAGACCUGGGCCCUAACGCUUGCCAGAUGACCUUGAAACAAAGGGCUCGUCUUGGAAAGUGAGGAGGACGCCAGCCGGCCUGGCAAACCCACAGGUGGUUGUGAAGUCAGUGGAAAUGUGUUAGAAGGUGGAACCCCCCUGAGAGGUGUGAAACGCUCUCCAAACGGCAGGGGACACCACUGUCCUCGCCUCUGGCUUGUUGCCAGCCACGUCCUACUCACCCUUGCCUGGCACCUGUGCCAGUCCUCCUGGGCUUUGGCUCCUGUGGAUCCUCCACGUGGAGCACUGAACAACACUGUGAAAAUAAGUGAGGCGUACAGGGCUCUUGAAGAUGUCAAAAUUGAGCUCGUGCUUUUCUGCCAAUGCUGCUGCCUCUCGAGUCUUCUCCACCCGAGGAACAGAAUCUCCAUCGAGGGAGCCACACUGCACCAGCAAGCUGGACAUCCAUUCUAGUAGAUUCCAGGGCCAUGGCUUACUUUUCCCUCCACUGGGCCGGCAGGAAGUGUGCUGAGCAGAGAGUCAGAGAGGGGCUUGUUGGGGGAAAAGGGAGGAAGAAGAGGAAGGAGGGAGGGAGGAGGCCCCACGCGACAUGACCUCUAAAGUCCAGGCAAUCAGGAAUAAAGGAGUAAGAGCUGAAGGGAGGGACAGUCCCCAGCCCCCCAACCUGAACCCUACAGCAAAGAACUGUGUAAAACUUCAGGGUUUGGUUUGGGGAGGGCAAGGAGCCAGUAUCUGGAACUGGUAGAGAAAUGGCCAGCGUACUGUUCCAUUACCCAUCACCCCUAGGCGUUAGCCAUGCUCUCCCGCAGAUCACAGACCCCCGCAGGGUGCACCUUGCCUCGCCCCUGCCUACCUCGCCAGAGCCAUCCAGAGUGGGCUGUGCCCGCCGCCCGCCCCCCCCCCCCCGGCUUCGUCUGGCUGGUGCCUUUGUCCAGAGCGCUCUGCCCCCUGCCCGCCGUCCUCACCGUCAGGUCUCAUUCACACGACAUGCUGCUAACCGCUGUAGAGCGUACAAUUGACUGUCAUUUAGAACAUACACAACGUUGGGCGCCUGAGUGGCUCAUCUGACUUCGGCUCAGGUCAUGAUCUCACAGUUCGUGAGUUCGAGUCCCACAUCGGGUGAGCUCAAGCCCCAUCUCGGGUGAAAACUCUCUCUCUCACCCCCUCUGCCCCUCUUGGGAUUCUCUCUCUCUCUCUCUCUCUCUCUCUCUCUCUCUCUCUCUCUGUGCCUCUCACUCACCUGUGCCCCCCCCCUCAAAAGAACAUUUACAAUGUUGUACAGCCAUCCCCUCUCCCUAGUUCCAAAACAUUUUCAUCUUCCCAAAAGGAAACCCAUUAAGCGUUUACUCCCCAUUUCCGCCUCCGGGAGUCUGCUUUCUGCCUCUAUGAAUUUUCCUUUCUGGCCAUUUCGCUGCUAUGAAAGUUCACGUACGAGCAUGUGUCCGAAUACCUAUUUUCAGUUCUUUUGGGCAUAUACCUAGGAGUGAAUUGCUGGGUCAUGUGGUCAUUCUGCGCUUAAUUUUCUGAGGAAUCGUCCCUUUGUUUUUGACGUCUUCCUUACCCCUAGGUGUCUGUACCUGUGCCGUCCCACACCGUAGCCACCAGCCCUGUGUGGUUGUUUCCGUUUAAAUCGAUGAGCCACGGGGCACCUGGGAGGCUCAGUCGGUUGAGCGUCCGACUUCAGCUCAGGUCAGGAUCUCGAAGUUCGUGAGUUCGAGCCCCGCGUCGGGCUCUGUGCUGACAGCUCCGAGCCUGGAGCCUGCUUCUGAGUCUCUGUCUCCCUCUCUUUCUGCCCCUCCCCCACUCAUGCUCUCUCUGUCUCUGUCUCUCUCAAAAAUAAAUAAACAUUAAACAAAUCAAUAAAAUAAAAUAAAUGAAGUCUUUAAAAGAAAGAAAAAAGAGGCUGGAUCUGCCUCAGUCAUUUUUCAGGAGCCUAGAACAGUGUCUGGCAAUGGGUAUGCCUUGAAUGAACUGGUUAGCGUCAGAGUUGCUCAGCAGAACGGUCAAGUCUUCUACACAACCCAGAGGAACGUUCCGGUCCUCUCCUCAAAGGUCUGAGUUCGAGUCAGCCACGUGUUGUAUUUACACAUCUCUUCUAUCCCGAUCUCAGCGCCCAGGAAUGUCCGAUAGCUGUCCACACAAAACCCACCUCCCCUGAGUUAGAACUCAAGGUCCCUGCGGUUAACUCCGGUGGCUUCCACACCUUUCCGUGAACUCUGGUGGGGGAGCCGCCCCCAGGGUUUGUUGAUCCGUAACCCUGCCGCCGAAGCUGAGGGAAGUGAGUCAGCCUCUUGCCACACACACAGGGAUCCACACAGAAGGGACAGCAGACUUCAGGGCAUGAGGAAACACAUCUGACAAGUUGGUUGUUACAUCGAGAGAGCUGAUGUCAGCGGGAGCACUCCGCAGUCAGCAGACACCCGCAGGACAGGACGGGUUCUGUUUUGACCACACCCCUCUCAGCACUUCCAGGGCGAGCCAAAGGGGAAGAGCCCAGACACCAUGACUGGCAGAAAAGUGGCCAUUUGGGCAACCAGUGUAUAUGUUAUGAAAUCACGUUUCCAACAGAUAAGGCAGGGCCUUCGCGUGGCUGUGUGCGCCUAGGCCAAAAUGCCUCAGGAUAAUGGCUCCUGACCGCAAGAACGUCUGCGAUCCUCCCAUGUGAAACCAUCGCCUUGAGGCGCCUGGCUUCCUUAGCAACUCUUUUUUUUAAAUGUUUAUUUAUUUUUGAGAGAGAGUAAGUGGGGAAGGGGCAGAGAGAGAGGGAGACACAGAAUCGGAAGGAGGCUCCGGGCUCUGAGCCAUCAGCACAGAGCCCGAUGCAGCUUGAACCUACGAACCGUGAGAUCGUGACCUGAGCCGAAGUGGGACGCUUAACCGACUGAGCCACUCAGGCGCCCCCUUCCUUAACAACUUGUAACAUACAUCUGCCGCUGCCCCCCACUUUCCUCACGGAGGCCGUCGGCUUCCUCCGUGAACCCCAGAGCAGAGGUGUGCAAUGCUGGCUUGCACAUUGGACUUCUGCAGAGAGCUUUUUAAAAUCCCAGCACUCAGGCCGCACCCGGACCAAUGAAGCCGGAAUCUGUGGGCGCUGGGUGUGGGCAUUGGUGUUACCUAAACUCCUCAAGGUGGUCCCGGCUCACUGCCAGGGCUGAGCGGCAUCACUUUUGAGUCUUGCUUAUAGGGCACUUUCAGUACAGAUCUAUUAAAUAAA
This is a long non-coding RNA of Neofelis nebulosa (Clouded leopard), 6572 nucleotides long. RefSeq lists it as uncharacterized. The transcript has 3 exons. The record is from RefSeq and is a predicted model, not a curated record. Lineage: Eukaryota; Metazoa; Chordata; Mammalia; Carnivora; Felidae.